This 296-nucleotide small RNA is filed under the name Anaeromyxobacter sp. Fw109-5. RNAcentral describes it as "5' ureB small RNA". It matches the Rfam family "5' ureB small RNA". The record is from Rfam by way of RNAcentral. Lineage: Bacteria; Pseudomonadati; Myxococcota; Myxococcia; Myxococcales; Anaeromyxobacteraceae.
CCUCGUAGGCCUGCUGCGGCGAGAUGAAGUGGAUGUGCGAGUCCACGCCGCCGGCGGUGAGGAUGAGCCCCUCGCCGGCGAUGCACUCCGUGCCGGGUCCGAUCGUCAUCCCCGGCGUCACCCCCGCCAUCGCGUCGGGGUUGCCCGCCUUGCCGAGGGCCGCGAUCCGGCCGCCGCGGAUGCCCACGUCCGCUUUGGUGACGCCGCCCUGAUCCAGCACGAGCGCGUUGGUGAUGACGAGGUCGAGCACCUCCUCCGGCGGCGCGCCGGCCGCCUGCCCCAUCCCGUCGCGCAGG